UGAGGAAUCAAGUUGAGAGUAUGCGGCAGAUCAGCAGGGAGUCGCUUCUUGGGCAGGUGGUGGCAUUGGUGAUGAUCAAUCUCGAUUGCCUCUUGAACUAGGCAAUAUUGCAAUCGUCAGAUAAGAAGAAGCAAUAGUAGAUCUCAACAGACCUGAGCAGAGAUCUAUUGGUGGAGGAAGAAUUGACAAGUUUAUGCUACGACUACAGAUUUGUGAGAGAUCUACAGUUCUUAUCAUAGAUCGGUGAGAGAACUGUAGUUUGUGUCAUAGAUCUAUGUUGCGGCUGCAACUUCUGUGAGUCGCAAGGAGGGAGAGUGCUAGGGUGCGAUGGGGCGAAGAGCAUGACGUGGCUGGAGAGGCAGGGCGACGUUUCUUCCUCCUUUCCGCUUCUCUGUUCCAUGGCGACGGGGGCAUGAUAGCACUGAACGACGAUGGGAUGUUAGGGGCGGAUGAGCGAUUGGAGUAGAAGACGGAGGCGCCGCAAAAGCAAUUAAGGUUCUUCGUCGGGAGGUGGCAGGACUCGAUGAGGAGCGAUUGCUAUCGUCGGAUAGCGAGAAGAGAGCUUGGUCUAAGCAAGAAGCUCUGAUUUCAUGAUAAAUUGGAACGUGAUUACAAAACUUGAUAAAAGUUUAUUGACAUGAUUACUAUUUAUACAUGUUAACAAGAUUUCUUCGUGCAGAUCAAUGAGAUUUCUUCGUACAGUUGGAAAAAUCUUAUAUGCUAUCACUAAGAGUGGAUUUUAUUCAAGAUUAGCUAGAUAUAGAUCUUCCUUUCUUACUCUCAUUUCUAGCCAAUGGAGAUCAAGAACUGAAUUAACGAAGAACAGAAUAAAUGUAAUAUAAAGAUUACAAGCAUACAACUGAGUAAAUUUAAAAGACAGAUUAGA
Long non-coding RNA from Musa acuminata AAA Group (dessert banana), 886 nucleotides. RefSeq lists it as uncharacterized. The record is from RefSeq and is a predicted model, not a curated record. NCBI's taxonomy places the organism in Eukaryota, Viridiplantae, Streptophyta, Magnoliopsida, Zingiberales, Musaceae. The transcript is spliced from 2 exons.